AGCGAACGCUGGCGGCAGGCUUAACACAUGCAAGUCGAGCGGGCGUAGCAAUACGUCAGCGGCAGACGGGUGAGUAACGCGUGGGAACAUACCUUUUGGUUCGGAACAACACAGGGAAACUUGUGCUAAUACCGGAUAAGCCCUUACGGGGAAAGAUUUAUCGCCGAAAGAUUGGCCCGCGUCUGAUUAGCUAGUUGGUGAGGUAACGGCUCACCAAGGCGACGAUCAGUAGCUGGUCGAGAGGAUGAUCAGCCACAUUGGGACUGAGACACGGCCCAAACUCCUACGGGAGGCAGCAGUGGGGAAUAUUGGACAAUGGGCGCAAGCCUGAUCCAGCCAUGCCGCGUGAGUGAUGAAGGCCCUAGGGUUGUAAACCGCUUUUGGUCGGGAAGAAAGGCAACUCCUAAUACGGGUUGUUCUUGACGGUACCGGCAGAAUAAGCACCGGCUAACUACGUGCCAGCCGCCGCGGUAAG
This 475-nucleotide ribosomal RNA is filed under the name uncultured bacterium. RNAcentral's name for it is "bacterial SSU rRNA". It matches the Rfam family "Bacterial small subunit ribosomal RNA", at positions 29 to 524 of the family's 1533-position model. The record is from RNAcentral.